RNAcentral lists this unclassified non-coding RNA (387 nucleotides) under soil metagenome. RNAcentral's name for it is "partial contains 5.8S ribosomal RNA, internal transcribed spacer 2, and large subunit ribosomal RNA". The stretch from base 1 to 120 matches the Rfam family "5.8S ribosomal RNA", at positions 35 to 154 of the family's 154-position model. The record is from RNAcentral.
GAUGAAGAACGCAGCGAAAUGCGAUAAGUAAUGUGAAUUGCAGAAUUCAGUGAAUCAUCGAAUCUUUGAACGCACAUUGCGCCCAUUAGUAUUCUAGUGGGCAUGCCUGUUCGAACGUCAUUAAUUCCACUUAAGCCCUGCUUAGUGUUGGGAAUCUACUCUAGUGGUGCUACCCUGGAGCUACCCCUGAAAGGGGGCUGGCCCGGUAGCUACCCUGUAGUUCCUCAAAGAUAGUGCGCGGAGUUGCGUGGUCCUCUGAGCUUAGUAACUAUACACCUAGCUUUUGAGUGUCCCGCGGCGCCUGCCGUUUAAACCCCAUCUUUUAAUGGUUGACCUCGGAUCAGGUAGGAAUACCCGCUGAACUUAAGCAUAUCAAUAAGCGGAGGA